GUUGCAGUUAAAAAGCUCGUAGUUGGAUUUCUGCGGGGGCGGGGCGGCCGGAUGCUUAUAGCAUCUCGAGCUAGCACUUCCCCCGCAUCCUGCCGCGAACCGUGCUACCAUUAGUUUGGUGGCGCUGGGGAUCGGCUCGUUUACUUUGAGAAAAAUAGAGUGUUAAAAGCAGGCCACACGCCUUGAAUAAGUUAGCAUGGAAUAAUGAUAAAGGACUUCGGUUCUAUUUUGUUGGUGUUCGGGACUGAAGUAAUGAUUGAUAGGGACAGUUGGGGCGGUCAGUAUUCCAAAGCGAGAGGUGAAAUUCUUAGACCUUCGGAAGACUAACAGCUGCGAAAGCGUUCCGCAAGGAUGUUCCCUUUGAUCAAGAACGAAAGUUGGGGGAUCGAAGACGAUCAGAUACCGUCGUAGUCUCAACUAUAAACUAUACCAGCUAGGGAUCGGCCGACGUUUACUUAUAUCGACUCGGUCGGCACCUUAUG
This 482-nucleotide ribosomal RNA is filed under the name uncultured marine eukaryote. RNAcentral's name for it is "bacterial SSU rRNA". It matches the Rfam family "Eukaryotic small subunit ribosomal RNA", at positions 612 to 1092 of the family's 1831-position model. The record is from RNAcentral.